CGUCCUUCUGUCUCAACUAAUCACCGCUUCUAGCUGGUCUGAGUGUGCAUCGUGGAGCUGGUGGGCACUGGCACCUCGUCACCUGCUGUAACUGAGAGAGAAGGCGUCUCCUCUUCCAAGAUCCAUUUGCAAGCCAAGUCACGUUUUUUCUACCAACCGUUCACUUCAGCGCCGUGCGUUGUCGGUACGUGAGAUGAGGGCAGAGUGGUGGGGAACAGGGAUGGCCCACCUCGAGAUCCCAUCCCAGCAGCUUGCUGGGCUUGUUCAGCUUCAAAGGCAUGCCUUGCUCGGUGAGACGUUAACCACCGGCACUGGGCAAGCCUCAAAACUCCACGAGAAACUUGGCCGCAUCUCCCGGGCUUUGAUGUAAAUUAUCUGGGGUGAUCACACAGCCUGCCCAGAAAUUCAGAUGGUUUCCACACCUCAGUCAUUACUACUAGAACAAGUCCUUGGAGUUCCCCUGGAACUUCAUAGAAAUAUCACCUUUUGGCAGAGGAGGAAAGAAAAUAAAAAAGGACUUUGCUGGUGGUGAACAUUGCCCUAGCAAUUUUAAAUCAACCACGUGUCGUUUGCACAAAGCUUUUCAUCCUCGUUUUGCUUUGUGAUAUGCAAAUCUUAGCCUAUUCAUUUGUCAGUGAUGUCAGCAGAAGACAGAAAGGUAUAAGAGUAUAUAUAAGAAAUGGCGAAUUAAUAUUGUGGGAGUCACUGAUACAGUGGGAGUCGCUAUCUCUUUGUGAAGUCUCUGACUCCAGGGUGUUUAAUCUCCUGAUCUUGAUACACACUUGUAAGUGUAUUGUGUAUGCACGCAAUGUUUGCUGUCCUGGAACGGUUUUUAUAACCCGGUUGCUUUUUCCCAGCAUUGUAGUGCAUGCAGUUUAGAAACUUGAGAUUUUGAAUAAUGCCAUAAAACUAACUUCUUAUGGCGCUCUCCCUCUCCAGCACAACUUCAAGCUCUACUCUUAAUUAAUUACCUGGGUUUCCAGCUCCUCUUUUUAGAGGACAGUCACUAAAUUGAGUGAAGUGGAUUAAAUUACUGGUGCAGGUGAAGGACAAGGCAAAUCAUGGUUUCUUGCCUGAAAAGCAUGACUGCCUGAAGUGAUGACUGUAUAUUCCGAAGCAUGUUAAAGUGUCAGCUGUCUAAACGUCUCCGGUGGUAGUAUCAUAAAAGAUUUCUGGUUUCUUUCAUACGCAGGCUGCCUGGAAGUUGGGCUGAGAUCCGUCAGGACGAUAUUGGCACUAAACCUUCCUCUAAUUUUUAAAGAAUCCGUGAAUGUGAGGGUAAGAAAAAAAGUUGGGUUAAAUCUCCGCUCUCU
Long non-coding RNA from Oxyura jamaicensis (ruddy duck), 1313 nucleotides. RefSeq lists it as uncharacterized. The transcript has 2 exons. The record is from RefSeq and is a predicted model, not a curated record. Lineage: Eukaryota; Metazoa; Chordata; Aves; Anseriformes; Anatidae.